CGUACUGCUCAGUAACACGUGGAUAACCUGCCCUUAGGACUGGCAUAACCCCGGGAAACUGGGGAUAAUUCCGGAUAGUUCAUGGUAGCUGGAAUGCUCCAUGAUCGAAAGCUAUUGCGCCUAAGGAUGGGUCUGCGGUCUAUCAGGUAGUAGUGGGUGUAAUGUACCUACUAGCCGACGACGGAUACGGGUUGUGGGAGCAAGAGCCCGGAGAUGGAUUCUGAGACAUGAAUCCAGGCCCUACGGGGCGCAGCAGGCGCGAAAACUUUACAAUGCGGGAAACCGCGAUAAGGGGACAUCGAGUGCCAGCAUCUUAUGUUGGCUGUCCGCAUGUAUAAAUCACAUGUGUUAGCAAGGGCCGGGCAAGACCGGUGCCAGCCGCCGCGGUAACACCGGCGGCCCGAGUGGUGGCCACUAUUAUUGGGUCUAAAGGGUCCGUAGCCGGUUUGGUCAGUCUUCCGGGAAAUCUGACGGCUUAACCGUUAGGCUUUCGGGGGAUACUACCAGGCUUGGGACCGGGAGAGGUAAGAGGUACUACGGGGGUAGGAGUGAAAUCUUGUAAUCCUCGUGGGACCACCAGUGGCGAAGGCGUCUUACCAGAACGGGUCCGACGGUGAGGGACGAAAGCUGGGGGCACGAACCGGAUUAGAUACCCGGGUAGUCCCAGCCGUAAACUAUGCUCGCUAGGUGUCAGGGACGGUGCGACUGUUUCUGGUGCCGCAGGGAAGCCGUGAAGCGAGCCACCUGGGAAGUACGGUCGCAAGGCUGAAACUUAAAGGAAUUGGCGGGAAUCACUAGUG
RNAcentral lists this ribosomal RNA (800 nucleotides) under uncultured archaeon. RNAcentral describes it as "bacterial SSU rRNA". It matches the Rfam family "Archaeal small subunit ribosomal RNA", at positions 82 to 887 of the family's 1478-position model. The record is from RNAcentral.